GCAGUGGCGAGCACGGGGGCGGUGGCGGCGGCGGCGAGGACGGGGGCGGUGGCGACUGGAACGCACGGUUUCAGCCCCGGUAGCCCCUGCACAUUCCCUUGUGUUUGGGCCACAGCUCGCGGAACCCUUCACACGGGGAACGCGUGUGCGUCUGUCCGCUCCUCCGGAAAUGGCCAAGGCUUCACACAGAUGCAGUAAGAUGUGUGAAAGAUUGGUGGAAGACGAGAUGGGAUUGCGAGGUGAGAACCAAGUGGGCUUUGAACACAUUGCCUCCUGUUUGCCAUGCAGGUGAUCUAGCCAUGCUUCCAGACCUAUCUCAACAGUUUUGAGGUUUGUUUGUUGGUUUAUAUUCACUCGGACAGUCCAAGAUAGUCUCUUGCAUCCAUUGGUAAGAAAACGUUGGGCUAGACCUAUGAUCUCAUUGAGGCCAUUUGUUUGUUUCUUUGUUGUUGUUUGCAUUGCUGUUUUUGUUGAUUUCAUUAAGCCAAAAUGCUUUGUGUCUGCUUGAAGGUAGAAGUUUCUUACAGAAUCCAAUAGCUUGGUUGAGGUACUUUUUGGAGGGAUAAGAGUUUCAGUGCUCACAGAAUUCAUUGGGAUGCAUUCUAGACAUGGUGUUUUAAGUUUGUGAGGGAUGAUUCAAAACCAUCUCCACUGGAGAGCUCUUCUACCUGAUGGAAACAUGAGGAACAUGAUAUCCCUACUCCCACCGAAAUGAUAAGGACCACUAAAUAACAGUGCUUUGAAACUUUAGGUUUAUUUAAUUACAAUAGUCAGUGUGUUUGCAUUUGUUUUGACUUAGCUUGCAAUAUUCAACAUUAGUGGAAUUUUUACCACAUUUACAAAAAUUUCUGGAUACUAAGUCAUUUGCUAGAUUCCCUUCAUAUUUAAAUUUUUAUUUUGUUACUAAGCUAGCAAUAAAUUCAUAACACAUUGUGAUAUGAAGAAAAGG
This 949-nucleotide long non-coding RNA is filed under the name Castor canadensis (American beaver). RNAcentral's name for it is "lncRNA (ENSCCNG00000013015.1)". The record is from RNAcentral. Lineage: Eukaryota; Metazoa; Chordata; Mammalia; Rodentia; Castoridae.